UUAACCUCGCUAGCUUUGUCUCUUCAGC
RNAcentral lists this non-coding RNA (28 nucleotides) under Mus musculus (house mouse). Lineage: Eukaryota; Metazoa; Chordata; Mammalia; Rodentia; Muridae. The record is from RNAcentral.